This 811-nucleotide ribosomal RNA is filed under the name Pseudoclavibacter sp. LCK-2009.7b. RNAcentral's name for it is "bacterial SSU rRNA". It matches the Rfam family "Bacterial small subunit ribosomal RNA", at positions 51 to 871 of the family's 1533-position model. Lineage: Bacteria; Bacillati; Actinomycetota; Actinomycetes; Micrococcales; Microbacteriaceae. The record is from RNAcentral.
ACACAUGCAAGUCGAACGAUGAAGCCCAGCUUGCUGGGUGGAUUAGUUNGCGAACGGGUGAGUAACACGUGAGCAACGUGCCCAUAACUCUGGGAUAACCUCCGGAAACGGUGGCUAAUACUGGAUAUCUAACACGAUCGCAUGGUCUGUGUUUGGAAAGAUUUUUUGGUUAUGGAUCGGCUCACGGCCUAUCAGCUUGUUGGUGAGGUAAUGGCUCACCAAGGCGACGACGGGUAGCCGGCCUGAGAGGGUGACCGGCCACACUGGGACUGAGACACGGCCCAGACUCCUACGGGAGGCAGCAGUGGGGAAUAUUGCACAAUGGGCGAAAGCCUGAUGCAGCAACGCCGCGUGAGGGAUGACGGCCUUCGGGUUGUAAACCUCUUUUAGUAGGGAAGAAGCGAAAGUGACGGUACCUGCAGAAAAAGCACCGGCUAACUACGUGCCAGCAGCCGCGGUAAUACGUAGGGUGCAAGCGUUGUCCGGAAUUAUUGGGCGUAAAGAGCUCGUAGGCGGUUUGUCGCGUCUGCUGUGAAAUCCCGAGGCUCAACCUCGGGUCUGCAGUGGGUACGGGCAGACUAGAGUGUGGUAGGGGAGAUUGGAAUUCCUGGUGUAGCGGUGGAAUGCGCAGAUAUCAGGAGGAACACCGAUGGCGAAGGCAGAUCUCUGGGCCAUUACUGACGCUGAGGAGCGAAAGCAUGGGGAGCGAACAGGAUUAGAUACCCUGGUAGUCCAUGCCGUAAACGUUGGGCGCUAGAUGUGGGGACCAUUCCACGGUUUCCGUGUCGUAGCUAACGCAUUAAGCGCCCCG